ACCCAAAGCAGUCCUUCACUACAGUGGCAGACAGACCUGAAAAUUUUCAUCUGAAGCAGCAGAGUGAACUGCAGAGUCAGGUCACCAACCAGUGUGGAGGCUAACAGCAGGCCUCUUUGGGGAUUCCAGGUGGAAGUGUUGGACAUCUGUAGUAUUCCUGGUCUCGAAUCAUCCUGAUAUUCUUCAUUUUGUUAUUCACAUUGGACUAGGGCAAGGAAAUGAGUUCUGGUCAGAGUCAAUGUUUCCCAACAAUGUUGAUUUAUUUGGUCCUAAAUAUUUAAACACAUUUUAUAAAUAGCUUUUCCACACCACAUAUAUAGGGAAAAACAGGGAGUUAACUUGGCCCAGCAGCACUGUUUGUGGGGCUAACGCCCUGUCUGUGUAUCUCACACCAACCCUAAGCUUUGUUUCCCUCCUGUCACUUUGCUCCUAUUUCUUUCAUAUGAAAGAAUGUUCAUUUUCUUUGAAAAUGAGCUCAUCUCCUCAUUUUCUUUCCAUAUUUCAGCAGGAACAAAGAUCACCACAACUGGCUCCCCUUCAACUGUGUUAGAUGGCAGCUUGCCUUCAGUACGGUGAAACACAUUAGUUAAGACUGGGAUUGUGCAUGGCAGGACUUUCUACAAGGACACCCAGUCUCCUUAAUAAACAAGAGAUGCUCUCUUUCCAGAA
RNAcentral lists this long non-coding RNA (669 nucleotides) under Pongo abelii (Sumatran orangutan). RNAcentral's name for it is "lincRNA". The record is from RNAcentral. Lineage: Eukaryota; Metazoa; Chordata; Mammalia; Primates; Hominidae.